This is a long non-coding RNA of Pygocentrus nattereri (red-bellied piranha), 1468 nucleotides long. The record is from Ensembl. Lineage: Eukaryota; Metazoa; Chordata; Actinopteri; Characiformes; Serrasalmidae.
AUGAUCCAUGAUCAGUACCUGAAGGGAGAUUUCUCUCUCACCAUCUCUGACGCUGAUUACAGUAUGAUGGGCACGUACACAUGUGAGUGCGGUAAUUCUGAACUCUGUGAUGUGCGGCUUCAGGUUGAGGAAACACCAGAGGCAGGGAACAAUAUUUCUGGCAGCAGUCAUACUAAAGGAACGUCCCACGUGUAUGUGUCAGCUGUUCCUCUAGUGAGGGUGAAGCUUCAUGACUCUGCUACUCUGCCCUGCUCUGAGACAUGUUCUGGUUUGGUCAGAUGGACUGAGUUCCAUAAUCCCACUGAUGUUCUGGCUGAGUGUGAUCAGACCUCAUGUAGAUCAGUGAAGGAGGGAUAUCAGAUGAUCCAUGAUCAGUACCUGAAGGGAGAUUUCUCUCUCACCAUCUCUGACGCUGAUUACAGUAUGAUGGGCACGUACACAUGUGAGUGCGGUAAUUCUGAAGUCUGUGAUGUGCGGCUUCAGGUUGAGGAAACACCAGAGGCAGGGAACAAUAUUUCUGGCAGCAGUCAUACUAAAGGAACGUCCCACGUGUAUGUGUCAGCUGUUCCUCUAGUGAGGGUGAAGCUUCAUGACUCUGCUACUCUGCCCUGCUCUGAGACAUGUUCUGGUUUGGUCAGAUGGACUGAGUUCCAUAAUCCCACUGAUGUUCUGGCUGAGUGUGAUCAGACCUCAUGUAGAUCAGUGAAGGAGGGAUAUCAGAUGAUCCAUGAUCAGUACCUGAAGGGAGAUUUCUCUCUCACCAUCACUGACGCUGAUUACAGUAUGAUGGGCACGUACACAUGUGAGUGCGGUAAUUCUGAACUCUGUGAUGUGCGGCUUCAGGUUGAGGAAACACCAGAGGCAGGGAACAAUAUUUCUGGCAGCAGUCAUACUAAAGGAACGUCCCACGGUAAGAUCUGUCCAGUUACAAAACACUAGCAGGGCCAGUUCUAGCAUUUUUGGGAGGCCUAGGCAGGUUUUUUUUUUUUUUUUGUGGGGGGGGGGGGGCGGGGGUAUCUUGCUUGCUGAUGCACUGUAAAAGUGGAAGCUAACUCAUAACAACGAUUACCACCAGCUGUGUAAAUUACGUACAUUUGUAAGUAGCUAAUUGUGUAAUUCUGAUUACUGGAUGCUAGUUUGGGGUUUUAAUAUGUUACCAUUUAAAUUACAGCUAACCUUCUAAAGAUUUAGAGCCAGUAAUUCUCAGUCUGUAAACAGUUUUACAGCCCAUCUUGUUUGCUGAACUGUAUUCUAAUCGUGUUGUUGUCCACUUGCUCAGGAUCAGUACAGCAGGUUGGGAAUCUGGUGUGGUUCUGUGGCCACUUUUCUUCAGUAUCUGAUUAAACGGACCUAAUUUCAAAUACUAUCUCAUAAAAGUCAUCUAACGUGUCAGUUUUAUGUUUUUCAUUGUACUAAAGUGGAAACUUAGUAACCUAAUAAUUACCUGCAGCGUAAAGACACUUCAAAU